GGCCCUACGGGGUGCACCAGUCGCGAAAACUUCACAAUGGGGGCAACCCCGAUGAGGGAAUUCCUAAUGCUAGCACAUUUGUGUUAGCUUUUCUUUAGCGUAGAUAACUAGAGGAAUAAGGGCUGGGAAAGACGGGUGCCAGCCGCCGCGGUAA
RNAcentral lists this ribosomal RNA (154 nucleotides) under uncultured methanogenic archaeon. Its description in RNAcentral is "partial 16S ribosomal RNA". It matches the Rfam family "Archaeal small subunit ribosomal RNA", at positions 319 to 473 of the family's 1478-position model. The record is from RNAcentral. Lineage: Archaea; Methanobacteriati; Methanobacteriota.